AACCACAAAUUAAAUAUCUUUUUUUUUUUUCCUUUUAUUUAUUUAUUCAAUUUAUUUUAUUAAAAUUUAAAUUUAAAAAAAAAAAAGAAAAACCUCUCAAAAACCUCAAAAAUCUUCUUUUCUUCUUCUUCAUCAUCUUCUCUCUCAUGUUCUUCAAUGGCUUCUCUACUGUCAACACCAGCUGACAUUUCCAGUCUCACUCCCUGGAGAUGGAGAAGGCUUUUCUUCCCUUCUCAAACCCUAAGCCAAGCACAAUUCCAUUGUUAUCGUUUCUCGCAACCCAAAGCCAUAUCCACCACCCAUUCCCAACAAGGCCAAUCCCAAUCCCAAACUCCAUUCCAAACCCUAAACCACGACCCAGACGCCAUUACACUCCUCAACCACCGAAUUCGCCGUGACCAAGGCAACCGAGAUGGUUCUAGAACCCUUGUGGACGCGGCGGAGGCCGAUAAGUACAUUCAAUUGGUGAAGGAGCAGCAACAGAGGGGUCUUCAGAAGCUCAAGCAACGUGGAGGCUCCACCAGUCAACGGAACAAGGACGAGGAUGGCCUUGUUGAGUCCUCCUUUAACUAUAAGGUCGAUCCUUACUCACUUCGUUCUGGGGAUUACGUUGUGCAUAAGAAAGUUGGUGUUGGUCGAUUUGUGGGUAUAAAAUUUGACGUUCCUAAAGGAUCUAAUGAGCCAAUUGAGUAUGUUUUCAUUGAAUACGCCGAUGGAAUGGCUAAAUUACCUCUCAAACAGGCCUCUCGUCUUCUUUAUCGUUACAAUCUUCCUAAUGAAACGAAAAAGCCUCGCACUUUGAGCAAAUUGAAUGAUACGACUGUUUGGGAGAAAAGAAAAACAAAGGGAAAGCUUGCAGUUCAGAAAAUGGUUGUUGAUUUGAUGGAGUUGUAUCUACAUAGGCUCAAGCAAAGACGCCCUCCCUACCCUAAGACCUCUGCCAUGGCUCAAUUCACAGCUCAGUUUCCUUAUCAACCUACACCAGAUCAAAAGCAGGCUUUCAUAGAUGUUGACAAGGAUUUGACUGAGAGAGAAACCCCAAUGGACCGUUUAAUUUGUGGGGAUGUCGGGUUUGGUAAGACUGAAGUUGCUUUACGUGCCAUCUUCUGUGUAGUAUCAGCAGGGAAGCAAACUAUGGUUUUAGCUCCAACAAUUGUCUUAGCCAAACAACACUACCAUGUCAUUUCAGAAAGGUUUUCUAUGUACUCAAAUGUCCGGGUUGGACUUCUUAGCAGAUUUCAGACAAAAUCAGAGAAAGAUGAACAUCUUGAAAUGAUUAAAAAUGGGCACCUUGACAUUAUUGUUGGGACUCACUCACUUCUUGGAAGCCGAGUUGUGUAUAGCAAUCUAGGCCUUCUUGUAGUUGAUGAAGAACAGAGGUUUGGCGUAAAACAGAAGGAGAAAAUUGCUUCGUUCAAAACUUCAAUUGAUGUUCUUACUUUGUCUGCAACACCUAUACCGCGAACGCUUUACUUAGCCUUGACUGGGUUUCGUGAUGCUAGUUUGAUCUCAACUCCGCCCCCUGAAAGAGUUCCUAUAAAAACCCAUCUUUCAGCACACAGUAAAGAGAAAGUAAUCUCAGCAAUUAAGUAUGAACUGGAUCGAGGUGGGCAAGUGUUUUACGUUUUGCCCCGUAUUAAAGGGCUUGAGGAAGUGAUGGAGUUUCUCGAACAGUCAUUUCCCGAUGUUGAAAUAGCUAUUGCACAUGGAAAGCAAUACUCAAAGCAGCUGGAGGAAACUAUGGAGAAAUUUGCACAAGGGGAUAUCAAAAUUCUCAUUUGCACCAAUAUAGUAGAAAGCGGUCUCGAUAUCCAAAAUGCCAACACCAUCAUAGUUCAGGAUGUUCAACAAUUUGGUCUAGCACAGUUGUACCAGUUGCGUGGAAGAGUGGGACGAGCAGAUAAGGAAGCUCAUGCACACUUAUUUUAUCCAGACAAAUCACUCUUAACUGAUCAAGCUCUGGAGAGACUCGAAGCCCUUGAGGAAUGCCGUGAACUUGGGCAAGGCUUUCAACUUGCGGAGAGAGAUAUGGGUAUAAGAGGUUUUGGUAACAUUUUCGGUGAGCAGCAGACUGGAGAUGUUGGAAAUGUUGGAAUUGAUCUCUUCUUUGAAAUGCUCUUUGAGAGCUUGUCGAAGGUUGAUGAACACCGUGUAGUUUCUGUUCCAUACUGGUCAGUGAAGGUUGAUUUAAACAUAAAUCCUCAUCUUCCUUCUGAUUACAUAAAUUAUCUGGAGAAACCCUUGGAAAUUAUAAAGGAAGCCGAAAACGCAGCUGGGAAAGACAUGUGGACUUUGAUGCAAUUUACUGAGAAUUUGCGACGCCAAUACGGAAAAGAGCCUCAUUCCAUGGAGAUCUUACUAAAGAAGCUCUAUGUAAGGAGAAUGGCAGCAGACCUUGGAAUAAGCAAAAUAUAUGCUUCAGGAAAAAUGGUUGUUAUGGAAACAAACAUGAGCAAGAAGGUUUUCAAGCUGAUUACAGAUUCAAUGGUUUCUGAGGCUCACCGAAAUUCUUUGAUUUUUGAGGCCAAUGAAAUCAAGGCUGAACUUCUUUUAGAGCUUCCUAAAGAACAACUCUUGAAUUGGAUCUUUCAAUGCUUGGCAGAACUUCAUGCUUCAUUACCAGCUCUUAUAAAAUACUAGAUUUUAUAUUUAUUUUUAUUUUCUGGUAAAAUAGAAGGGAGCCAAGAAUAUGUUCUUGUGUUGGACUCAUUCCCAGACUUGUAUAUUCGUACCGAGCAAUGAUCUUUACAAAAUAUGAAUCACACGAAGCAGUUUCGAAUCCAGGCAUUUGUUACAGGUUUCAAAUGUGGGAAUUGACCAAAGUUGAAAGUACUAGAUGCAAAGGGGAUGUUUUUGGUGGAGUAAAGACAUGGAAAAUUUGAAGGUGUAAAGUUGGCUUGGAAACAUAAUGGAAUAAAGAUUAUAUCAAACACAACAGAACAGAACAGGAAUAGUGCUUUUGAUAUUUGUUGCUUGAUACACAAUUCAAACAAAAAGAUUUAUAAAUUAUUACAACAGCAACUGCCCAGAUAUUCUCAACUGUACAAUUGACUUUGACCAGUAGAUCUUAAUGAAAAAGGUUUUUUUUUUUAAAAAAAUAUUAUCUUUCUUUAUUUGUAACUUUUUUAUGCGUUAUGAUUGGAAGAGAAAGAUGCUUUAGUAGUCCAGCUGCCAUAAUAAUAAAAUGGCCCACAUUUCGUUGUCUUCUUUACUCUUUCUAGAAACUAUAUAAAUAAUUGAUCUUUAUUUGGGUCCA
RNA transcript from Cannabis sativa, 3256 nucleotides. It is a transcript of the gene named ATP-dependent DNA helicase At3g02060, chloroplastic, with no coding region annotated. The transcript has 15 exons. NCBI's taxonomy places the organism in Eukaryota, Viridiplantae, Streptophyta, Magnoliopsida, Rosales, Cannabaceae. The record is from RefSeq and is a predicted model, not a curated record.